UUUUUUUUUUCCUGUAGAAGUGAACUUAAUGAAGAACUACUAGUUAGAAAAUUCUGUAGAAUAGAGAAAAAUUCUCUUUUCAGAUUGCAUUUAUCAAAGCUAAAACUCAAUAUAUAUACUUUAUUUAAUAUAUUUCCUUCCACAUCUGUGUUUCACAUGCGUGCCUUUUGCCUAAGCAUUAUUUUUCAACUAUGUCAUAUAUUCUCUGGCUACUUUUAGCAUCUCACUGUCGGGUUCUGAGUGCUUAGGUGCCCACAUGUUUGGGUGUGGGGGUGUGCAGAUGUCUCCUUUCCUGCUUGUACUGGCUAAAUUUUCUGGACAAUUCAAAUAAGAUUUGAGGCCAUUUUGAGGGAUUUUAAAUACUGUCCCUUAUAUUCUCUCAUCUCUCACAAACUAGACACGCAUUCUUGCCAAUUAAAACCCCCUGUCUUUACCUCAGUGUGAUCUGAAGAGCGCCAGGGGGAAAAAAAAGAUGUUCUUUGGAAUCUUUGUGAUGAAUAUUUUGUAGGUGGUGCAGCUGCCUGAGCUUUCAUCUCUCUCUCCUGCCCACUUUGGCCUCCUACACACAAGUGCAAAGCCCUCACGUUCUUCCCUUUCGCCAAGCACAGACGAGAGUGGCUUUUGGCUGUUUAGGAUCUGUGGAGCCCUUGGUGAUCCUGUGAAAGCUCAGGUGGUCUGGGUGCCCCUCUCACAUUCCCCCCUCACAAACAGCAAAUAUCAGAGCCCGCAGCACCUGUAAACUCUUACUGUGUUAAAUAACCUGAUAGCUACAGUUGAUGGGGGAAGCACUUUAUUCCUGCUUCCUCGGGGCAGAAUGCAUGAAAAAAUCCUCCCUGCCUAACUUUUCAGAAAGUAAACUCUGGGUUAUACAAAAGAUACAUUAUUCUUUUCACAAUUAGGGCUGUUUAUGCAAGUGCGGGGAAGUCAGUUCUAUCAGAAAUACUAACAGCUUUGAUGCGUUAUAAAAAAUAUGGUUCUCGUUUGUGUCUUUCCUACGGGCUAAUCGUAGUGAUGAUGUUUGAAGGUGGGUUCAUUUCUGUCGUUCUUGUCAAGGAAGAGACUAAUGUAUGUGUAUUUGUAUGUAUAGAUCUGCUUUGAAAGACCACAUAUGCCACACAAAGAAUACAUUAGUGGAAAUUGACUUCUGUGUUAAAUGAGUCUUUUAAAAGUUUUUCCCCCAUCCUGCCUGAAGAAAGCAAACAGCCUGGUAAUGAACACAGUAGGAAGAAAUUAAAGUUGUAGAUAAAGUGUGCUUUUGGUGAAUUGUUUAUUUCAUUACUUAAAUUCGUUGUGAUAUUUAAAAUGUAGGGGGAAGGGAUGGUUACCACUUUCUCCUUGAAAUGAACUGGGCUUUUAUGGUCUCCCUCUGAUUUCUUUUUCCAUUAUUCCCAUUUUCUUGAGCUUUUCAUGGUUAAUGGAAGUACUACUCAGUAAAGCUCAAAAGACAUUUCUGUAGAAGCAGAAAGUCAGUUGCCUUUGCUGCUGACUCCCUCUCUGGAGGGAAGGUGUUUUAAUUUUUUGAUUGGCUUUAAGAGGUAAAUACAGACAGUGGUGUGGUUUUGGGGAGCUAAACUUCUUAAGCUAUCACUUUUACUUUAUAGAACCAGGACAUUCAGCAACAUUAAAUUGGAACGCGUCCCAGGGUCACUAUGCUAUCUUGCCUCUCAAUCAAGGGUCUCACUUGAGAAAUAUGAGCAAACAUAUUUUAUUUAGGAGUCCCAAUUCUUCAGUAUAGAAUAUAGAACCCAGAGAGAACAAAAAGCAGGUUGUGGGUAUAAAUUGGAGUGAAAAAUUCAUAUGAUGGUGAUGUCUUUGAAUAUGUACACUUCACAAACAAUAAGAUUCCCACUGCGGAAUCCUAUAAAGGAGAUAUUUUCGUUCUGCGUCUCGGUGUGAAUGCCUUGGCUGACCCAAGUCCACCCACCACCGUAGAUGUGUUUUGGAAAGGGUGUCUACUCUGGUGUUGCAGUCUGAGAAAGAUGAGACAUUCUCUGACCUGAAGUCUUUUUUUAUUUACUACAGAUGUGCCUUCCUCUGUUUCCUCCUGUGUGGUCCUUAAGUGAACAGAAGCAAUGUACCAGCCUAUGCAAAGCUGCCAAUCUGUGGAGGAGACUGACCCUCCCCAGAGCCAGAAGAGGUUGUCCAGAUACUAGAUUUCUUGGAUUUGGGUUGUUCUUUCCCUUCCACUCCCCUGCUCCAUACCUUACCUGCCUCAUGACAUGGUCCCCAACCCCAAAGUUAGCAUUUCUGAAAUGGAUACAGUUUAGAGUCAGUGUGUACAUUUAAUGUGGCCAUAUUUCCUUCCCCCCCUCCUCAGAGAGGCUAUUAAUAAAUUAAUGUGUCUAGAAUUGAGGAGUUAUGGUAUGAACUUUUUUUUUUUUUAAUUGAGCAGCAGAAGAAAAACAAAGCAUACUAAUUUCCACGGGGAUUUGUUCAAAAAGAUGGUCAUCACUCUCACUUAUUCUGAUUUUCUUAUAUUUCUAUGAACCCCCACUUCUCCUGGUUCCUCAAAAACUGGAAACCCUGAGCCUAAGGCUACAGCUGUUACAAUGAUCACUCUGCUAUUAUUAUCUCUGAAAUCUUCCUUCUCUCACCACUUAUUCUUUCUCUCCUUUUCUUUCCCACAACGGAACUAGUUGAUGCGCGGGAGUGCUUUUAAGUUCAAAUAUGGAAGCGUGGGGCUGUGACAUAGCUGAGGGGGAGGUGCAGGGUGGCUGAAUGGAGUUUAGGAACAGUAUCUGGUUUUAUAGGGGAGAGAGAGAGAGAGAGAGUGUGUGUGUGUGUGUGUGUCCACAUGUGGGUGAAGAGUAAAACAAAAAAAAAAUGGGAGAAAGUAUGAAUUAUAUAAUUAGGAGCUGGCUUUGAAAAACCUGAUCAGGCCCAUAAUAAAAACUGCCUCGUGCAUCCUACAUAUACGCUGACUCUCUGGCUAUAAACUCCCCAGCUCAGGUCCCGAAUAGAGGCAUUUCCACUUUAGAAAUCCUUUCACUAGAGUUCAUGCCCAAUUCCUCUGUGGUUUCAUUCCUAUUGUAAUUAAUUUUUCCAUUUGAGGAUGCCCUUUCUUUCCUUCCAUAUCUUCCAAGAAUGGCAAAUAGAUUCUUACGGAUCCUUUCACGCAUACU
Molecule: long non-coding RNA, 3122 nt
Filed under: Canis lupus familiaris (dog)
Lineage: Eukaryota; Metazoa; Chordata; Mammalia; Carnivora; Canidae
Description: lncRNA (ENSCAFG00000054148.1)
Source: RNAcentral